Thunnus maccoyii (southern bluefin tuna) is the source of this 4169-nucleotide RNA transcript. It is a transcript of the gene named RNA-binding Raly-like protein, with no coding region annotated. The transcript is spliced from 10 exons. NCBI's taxonomy places the organism in Eukaryota, Metazoa, Chordata, Actinopteri, Scombriformes, Scombridae. The record is from RefSeq and is a predicted model, not a curated record.
GAGGGCAACUGGAGGAGAAUGACUGGUAAAACCCAGACCAGCAACGUGACCAACAAGAAUGACCCACGUUCCCUCAACUCCAGAGUCUUUAUCGGCAACCUCAACACAGCAAUCGUCAAGAAGACUGACAUAGAGGUCAUCUUUGCCAAGUACGGCAAGAUAGUGGGUUGCUCCGUGCACAAGGGUUACGCCUUCGUACAGUACAUGAAUGAGAGGAAUGCCCGAGCGGCUGUGGCGGGAGAAAACGCUCGUAUCAUCGCUGGACAGCCUCUUGACAUAAACAUGGCAGGUGAGCCCAAGCCAUACAGGCCUAAAGCAGGCUCCAAACGGCCGCUCUCAGCUGUUUACAGUGGUUAUGAAUUUGAUUACGAGUACUACAGGGAUGAUUUCUACAGCAGGCUUUUUGACUACCACGGCCGAGUGGCCCCCCCACCCAGAGCCGUGAUCCCUCUCAAACGCUCCAGGGUGCUCGCUCCCUCCUCCCGCCGUGGGAAGACCUCUUUCCCCAUCAAAACUACCUCCUCUUCCUCCUCUUCAUCCUCCAGACCUCCCACAUCAUCCUCCUCUGGGCUCAAACCAGUGAAGACGGACCAGCUUCAGACUAUUAAACGGGAGCUCACUCAGAUCAAGAUGAAGAUUGACUCUUUGCUGGGACGUCUGGAGAAGAUUGAGAAGCAGCAGAGAGCCGAGUCUGAGGCUCAGAGAAAGUACGAGGACAACUGCGACUCCCUGCAUGAGGAGUCCGUGUCAGAGACGGCAGAGAACUCUGGGGAGGAGGCUGGCGAGGGGGCGCUUGAUGUGGAGGCGGGAGAGAUGACCGAUGGAGGCGAGGACGACUACGACGAGGAGGGCAGCCACCAUCUGAUAGAGAACCAUGUAUCGGAUAUUGACAACUGAGAUCAGGGUGAGGAAGCAGACACCCCCAGUCCGUGGUAUUAGAAUUCAUCAUCACCUUCAAGAGACAGAAAAGGAUCUCUGAGGGGAUCAAGACACCCAUUCUGGACUCUUGUGCAUCACAACAUGGACUGCUACUGUUCAGGAGCCAAUGCCCUUUCUCCUUCUCCUUCGCCAUCUCCCUCUGCAUUCUGCAUUGAUUCCAUCUGAUGUAGACAAGGCAGUGAGCUUUCAGAUUUCCUUUAAAGCCAUCCUAAGGAGGAGGUAGGUGUUGGGAACUACUAUUCAGCUAUACCAGGUGUUUCCAGGUGAUUCCUCAGUAGCAUAAAUUGGACUGAUGGUGUGUAUCAGCCAACAUCUGUUAAAGCUUUCAGAUUUCAUUAUUAAGCCUGUUUGAACAGUGCUCUGAAAGCUUUUAAAGAAGUCGACUUAAUGUAAGAUUUAACUGCUGUUGCUCAGUCAGUAGCCUAAAUGUUGUUUUUUUUAAAUUUUAAUGUAACCUAAUAUAUUUGACGGAUUAUUGAUACUGUAAUAGUUAAGGAGACAGAUACUAUUGUAGGAGCAAAAUAUUCUACAAUAUGAUUUAAAAAAAUAUAAAUUUUUGUGCAACUAGACUAUAAAUACAAUAUUUCCUUAAUUGCCAUUUUUUGAGUGAAUGUACAGCACUAUUAUGUAGUGUACCACCUGACACACUUGUGCUAUAUUAGCUGUAUGCUCACCUCCUCCUGACAGUGUUUUUAAAGUGAAAGCAUAGAAGGAAAUAUGAUUCUGUCAUUGUUUUAAGUAACUCUGCUCUUGGCUGAAUCCAAAUGUCCUGACUUUGUCGCACUUGCAGACACGUGGAAUAAACGGUCGCAUUACUGGGCAGUUGUGAAUUCACAGUUCAUCAAGUCCACAAGGGAGCUCAUGUGGAGUUGCUGCAGAGUCCGCUCAGAGUGGAGACUUCGCUGAUUGAAUUACCCACAGUUCUUUGCAACUGGGAUAAGACACAACAACAUUAUUAAAGGUAUAAUAUGUAACUGUUCGACAUUAUAAUGUCUAAAAACUAGACCCAUGUUAUAUAUUUUGUUGACUUAUGUACUUACAUUAUCCUAAAUGUUUCCAACAAUUGAAAAUCGAAAACAAUUGAAAUCGAGGUAACGGCCCAUUUCAUUUGGUCACCUGUCAAUGGCGUCAUAUCCCUUUGCACAUGCGUCAGUGUUGUGGUUGUCUACCAGAAGCUGCUAUAAAUUGAUGUAUACGAUACACUUUUUAGAUCUUGGUUGUUUUUAACUAUAUCUUUUAAUCAGAUGAAAGAUUUUAAUCAUCGGAUGUCUGGAUCUUAAGUUAUCAAAGAAACAAGUGGAGCAAACAUUAGCAGCAGUUCAGCUCGCAGCCCCUCCGGAACUCCUCUGUCUGCCAAACAAUGCCGGAGAAACGUUGAUUUUUAACAAUAAACUACUUUAUUCAGUGUUUUUACUGGUUUUAAUCACCAUGUCCGUUUGGAGGAGACCUAUGCGGAUAAUUAGGCUCCUGGUAAUUCGGCUCCUGGUUAAAACCUCAUGAAUGAUGAACACUGAAGGAAUCUUAACCAGGAAAAGCUGAUUGUUUGUUGAAGACAACCUCUCCCAUGAUCCCACACUUCUUCUCAACUUCAUCAGACUCUGUCUUUUGUUAUUGUUUUGAUUGAGAGACCCCUAGUGGCAGAAAAUUACGUAUUGUGCGUUUAAUUGCGAACAAAAAACUUGCCUUUCAAAUGCAAGUAUAAAAGUAUGUGUUACUUGCAUCAUGUAGAAACAAUAUUUAACAAAAAAUAUGCAGAAGAAAAAAAUAUGACACUAAAAAGCUUUGAAAAAUAAUAACGGUAAAAAAGCAGUGAAAGCUUAUCAAUAGUCUUAUCAACAGUUGAUGACAGUAUGUAGUCCUGAAGUCUGCAAGGGUUCAGUCCAAGCCCAAGUCCAGAUGGUUGACAUUUGGAUUCAGCCUUAUACUGACUGAAUAUCAGCUGAAGUCCUGGUUUCUAUUUAAAAGUUUAACCAUAUGAUUCUGUGUCAUUUAUGGUUUAAAGGGUAAUUUCACUGAAAUUAUCGAAAAAUAAAUGCUCUCUUAUCUCUAGUGGUAUCUAGUCAAGCAUUUAGUUGUGGUUUUAUGUGCACAGGUUUUGAGAUAUCCACCCCUGAGACUCGUACCGCCACUUAAUACAAUCACAAGGUGACUGAAAUUCCAUUUGUGGUGCUUGAAGCAUAAAAAAUUACAUUAAAAAAUUCAACAGUAAUAUAUGUUUCUCUUGCUAUUUUAUUUGACCUUGGGUAGAAAAUGGUUGCCAUGAAAACUGUGGAUUAAUAACCUGAAUAACAGGUUAGGAUUAGAGUUUUUCAAAUGUAACUGUUAAAUUCUUUGAGCACCACAAACAAAAAAGUGCAUUCAGCCAAAACCUGGGCAAAUAAAACCAUAAACUAUCUAUCAUGGCUGGAUAACACUAAGGAAAAGUUAGAACAUGUGUUGUUUGGUGAUUUGGUUGAACUGACCCUUUAAACAUACAUAAACGUGAAGGAAAAGUCACCUCGCACAAUUUCAUUAACACAACAGUCCCUGGCAGUGCUGCCUAAAAAAAUACAUUAAAUAAAAUUUUAAAAAACGACUGUCCUGCAGCUCAUUCUAAGUAAGUGUCUGGUGAAUGAUGAUAAUGUGUAAUAUUUAGCACUAUUUUUGUAUUCAGAAAACAUGUUUAAGGGAAACAGCUCUGCUACAUGUUUAUCUUUUUUGCUGGUAGCCUGUUAUUUAAUGAACAGUAUGGUGAUGUGUCAAAUAUUUUGCAAAAAUUAAAAAAAAAAAAAAUAGCCUCAUUGCUUUUAACUGUUGUACUUUAUCUGGGUCACUUUAGAACAUUUUUGGCUCAACACAUUCAGUUUUCAUUUUCACUGUAAAUAGUCCUUACCUUGUUUAUUUCAAACGCCAGCUAGAAUAGGAAGAGAAAUUUUAUUGCGUUUAAAAUAACGUUGAAAUAAUAUACUGACAGUUUGUUGGAGUUGUUGCAGGUUUUAACCAGAAUCACUCUUGGUUUGGGAUUCAGUGUGGGGCUUGUAGAGAUGUGUAACUGACAACUGUUGUAUAGAAAUGUACAUUUUUUGUAAAGAUAUUUUUAUCAAAAGGCAUGUUGACUGUAACUUUGUAUUUUCAGUUCAUGUAUAAAAACAGUAUAUCACAACUGUUGUAAGGCUAAAAAAAAAAAAAACUUGUCAUUGUAAAUAACUAUUUGUGUUCUUAUCAGUCAAUAAAAAUGUUUGUGUCACAUA